Molecule: transfer RNA, 62 nt
Filed under: Botrylloides nigrum
Lineage: Eukaryota; Metazoa; Chordata; Ascidiacea; Stolidobranchia; Styelidae
Description: transfer RNA-Gly(GGN)
Source: RNAcentral
GUAAUGUUAUUAUAACUAGUAGGUGCGCCUUCCAAACGCAAGGAGUCUUUCGACACAUUAUA